Molecule: unclassified non-coding RNA, 183 nt
Filed under: uncultured fungus
Lineage: Eukaryota; Fungi
Description: sequence contains ITS1
Source: RNAcentral
UUAACUAUUAGAUAGUACUCAGACGACACUAACAUUCAGAGUUUGGGUUUCCUCUGGCAGACGCGAUCCAGCCGGAGCCGGGGGCCUGCCAAAGCAACAAAGAUAUAAUAUACAAGGGUGGGUGUUUCUACCCGUGAGGGCAGGGACACUGUAAUGAUCCUUCCGCAGGUUCACCUACGGAAA